This 56-nucleotide transfer RNA is filed under the name Pleroma pereirae. RNAcentral's name for it is "Tibouchina pereirae partial tRNA-His". Lineage: Eukaryota; Viridiplantae; Streptophyta; Magnoliopsida; Myrtales; Melastomataceae. The record is from RNAcentral. RNAcentral also lists the same sequence under 1 other name.
GGCGGAUGUAGCCAAGUGGAUCAAGGCAGUGGAUUUGUGAAUCCCCCAUGCGGGAA